Molecule: small nuclear RNA, 304 nt
Filed under: Jaculus jaculus (lesser Egyptian jerboa)
Lineage: Eukaryota; Metazoa; Chordata; Mammalia; Rodentia; Dipodidae
Description: 7SK RNA (ENSJJAG00000003805.1)
Rfam family: 7SK RNA
About the family: 7SK was discovered as an abundant small nuclear RNA in the mid-70s but a possible function has only recently been suggested. Two independent studies have found that 7SK RNA binds the CDK9/cyclin T complex (known as elongation factor P-TEFb).
Source: Rfam by way of RNAcentral
GGAAGUGAGAACCAUCUGGCUGUGACAUCUGUCACCCCGCUGAACACCAGGACUGAUGGGGUGGACCUGAUUGGGUAGGCAGGUGUCCCCUUCCUUCCUCGCUGCUUCAUGGGCGUCCCUCCUAAAGCUGUGCGCUUUGUUGAAGUGGACGCCCUUCCCCUGGCAGAGGAGGGCUGGUCAAGGGUGUGCAAGCGCCUGAACUCUCCUGCGAUCAUCUCCAAACAAGCUCUCAAGGUAGUAUUACCAUCCACAGAGCUUAGAUGUUAUUAAAAGCAUGCGAAGUUAUAGGUAAAAAGUAAAACAG